Zea mays is the source of this 481-nucleotide long non-coding RNA. RefSeq annotates it as MIR166jHG. The record is from RefSeq and is marked validated. NCBI's taxonomy places the organism in Eukaryota, Viridiplantae, Streptophyta, Magnoliopsida, Poales, Poaceae. The transcript has a single exon.
AUCGGUAGCUCCCAGCCUCACCUUCAUCACUCCAGGAACCCCAGCCCUUGGGCUACUCUCUUCUUCAUUCUCCACUCGCGCACCUCUCCUCCAUCCAAUGGUUCCAUCCAUGACCAUGACACCUAUCUUCUUCAUUCUCCACUCCCAGCCCUGGUGGUUUGUGCUUCUUGGAGAGCAGCGUAACAAGUUGAAGAUUAGGUUAAGGGGUUUGUUUGUCUGGUUCAAGGUCGCCACACAGCAGGGAAAACCCAUUUCGCCUUGAAGCAUGCACCAUGAUGGGUGUACCUGUUGGUGAUCUCGGACCAGGCUUCAAUCCCUUUAACUAGCGUCUGCAUAUAUAUGUGCUUCUCUAAUCAGCUGUUCAAGCAAUUUGCCUCUGGGUAAGCCAUCUGUUCGACCGUUGGAGGUUUUGUUUCCAUUUGACUAAUCGUUAGAGAAAACAACAAGAGUUUAUUAAGUACCUGGUUUAUUUGCAUGGCAA